GGCUCAGGACGAACGCUGGCGGCGUGCCUAACACAUGCAAGUCGAACGAGGUCCAUCCUUCGGGAGAAGACCUAGUGGCGAACGGGUGAGUAACACGUGAAGAACCUGCCCCGAAGACCGGGAUAACCCUCCGAAAGGAGAGCUAAUACCGGAUACCCCCACCGAACCGCAUGGUUGGUGAGGAAAUGGAUUCCGCUUCGGGAGGGCUUCGCGGCCUAUCAGCUAGUUGGUGGGGUAACGGCCCACCAAGGCAUCGACGGGUAGCUGGUCUGAGAGGACGAUCAGCCACACUGGGACUGAGACACGGCCCAGACUCCUACGGGAGGCAGCAGUGGGGAAUCUUGCGCAAUGGGCGAAAGCCUGACGCAGCAACGCCGCGUGGGGAUGAAGGCUCUCGGGUUGUAAACCCCUUUCAGCAGGGACGAAUCAAGACGGUACCUGCAGAAGAAGCCCCGGCUAACUACGUG
This 467-nucleotide ribosomal RNA is filed under the name uncultured bacterium. RNAcentral's name for it is "bacterial SSU rRNA". It matches the Rfam family "Bacterial small subunit ribosomal RNA", at positions 21 to 507 of the family's 1533-position model. The record is from RNAcentral.